Molecule: ribosomal RNA, 253 nt
Filed under: uncultured bacterium
Lineage: Bacteria
Description: partial 16S ribosomal RNA
Rfam family: Bacterial small subunit ribosomal RNA
Source: RNAcentral
UACGGAGGGUGCAAGCGUUAUCCGGAUUCACUGGGUUUAAAGGGUGCGUAGGUGGGCUGGUAAGUCAGUGGUGAAAUCUCCAGGCUUAACUUGGAAACUGCCAUUGAUACUAUCAGUCUUGAAUACCGUGGAGGUCAGCGGAAUAUGUCAUGUAGCGGUGAAAUGCUUAGAUAUGACAUAGAACACCAAUUGCGAAGGCAGCUGGCUACACGAAUAUUGACACUGAUGCACGAAAGCGUGGGGUUCAAACAGG